CAGCCCCCAAAAAUAAAAAAGGCAGAGAACAGAGAGCCUUUAUCUGUUCGUUUUGGCUCCCCCUGAACUCCGGCGUCGACCUCAACGGCGAGCCGCCGUGUGGUCACCGUAGUCAAGGGCGCAGGUAAGGUUUCUUCUCGUCCUUUUUUGUUUUAUACAUAUUCUUAUAUACAUUUGUAUAUACGAUUAAAUAAAAAAAAGAAAAGGAAAGAAUAAAUCAGGAAACAAAAUGAAAAAAAGAAAAGAAGAACACCUUUUCUUUUGAUUUUUCGAUUUUAUUGAUUCAUCCCUAUUUUUCUUUCCAAUCGGUUUCAUCCCCCAUUUGAAAAUACAAAUCAAAAUCGGCUUUUAUAGCCGAUGCCCUAUUUCUGUUUUGCUAUUUUUUUCCUUUUUGUUGCGUGUUUCAUUUCAUUUUGCAGGUGGGCAGAAGAAAGCCGUACAGUGGCAGAGUCAGUGGCGCAGCGGUGGCAGGAGGCUAGGGUGCGGCGCAGUAGCACUAAGGUUUGACUUGUUUAUUUUGAUUUGAUGUUUUGGGCUUGGGUUGAGUGGGCUGUUAUGGUUAGAUUUAGGUGGGUUAGAAUUUGGGUCUUCAUUGGGCCAUCUAAUUUGGGUUUGUAAUUAGGUUGGUUUGGGUUUUGGUGUUUGGAUUUUGGAUUUUGGGCCACAGGUAAAUUUGAGCUUGUACAAUGAGAUGAUAGAGUUAAUUUUAUAUAAUGUAGUAUUAGUGUCAAUUUGCAUUAUGUAGUGUUUCUACUUUCAAAAUAUCUAUUUUGGUACAUGAAAUUUAAUUCUGUUCAUCAAUGUGGUACCUCCUAACAAUGUUAAACCCAUAUAUCAAUUGACAUGUGGCGUAAUCAUGGGUGUGUUAGGGAAAAAUUAAAACAAAGAUUUUGAAACAAUUAUACUUUUUCAUAUUUUAAAAAUUAAAAUAAUAAAAAUAAUAACGAAGUUAAUAAAUCACAUUUCUCUUCCUCUUUAGAAAGCAAAGCUUGUUUUUUUUUCUCUCACAAUUUGUCUUUGCCGUUGUUCCCGUUGGAUUUUCGCACCGUUCAAGGUGGAUGGUGGUAGUGAACAGUAGCCUUUGUCCCUUCAAUCCCACUAGCUUAGAGCUCCUUAUAGCAAAUCAGAAACCCUUGAAGAGGUAAAUGAAGCUUGCAACUUUUCCUUUUUCAAUGUGCUUUGCCGGCCGUUGGAUUGGCCUUCAGUCAAGACUAACUGUUUUUGUAGCUUUCUUUUCGUUGCCAUUGUUCGGGUUUCUAGACUAGUACUUGCAGCCCAGAAGGCCAAAAGGGCCUAAGAUGG
RNAcentral lists this long non-coding RNA (1302 nucleotides) under Gossypium raimondii (Peruvian cotton). RNAcentral describes it as "long non-coding RNA (GRAI_LNC000125)". The record is from RNAcentral. Lineage: Eukaryota; Viridiplantae; Streptophyta; Magnoliopsida; Malvales; Malvaceae.